Molecule: transfer RNA, 73 nt
Filed under: Stegodyphus mimosarum
Lineage: Eukaryota; Metazoa; Arthropoda; Arachnida; Araneae; Eresidae
Rfam family: tRNA
About the family: Transfer RNA (tRNA) molecules are approximately 80 nucleotides in length. Their secondary structure includes four short double-helical elements and three loops (D, anti-codon, and T loops).
Source: Rfam by way of RNAcentral
GCCUUCGUGGUGUAAUGGUCAGCACACUGAGCCGGUAUUUCAGAGGUCCGUGGUUCGAUUCCCGGGAAAGGCA